This 460-nucleotide ribosomal RNA is filed under the name uncultured bacterium. RNAcentral's name for it is "partial 16S ribosomal RNA". It matches the Rfam family "Bacterial small subunit ribosomal RNA", at positions 338 to 795 of the family's 1533-position model. The record is from RNAcentral.
CCUACGGGAGACAGUAGUGAGGAAUAUUGGGCAAUGGACGCAAGUCUGAACCAGCCAUGCCGCGUGCAGGAAGACGGCUCUAUGAGUGUUAAACUGCUUUUGUACGAGGGUAAACGCAGAUACGCGUAUCUGUCUGAAAGUAUCGUACGAAUAAGGAUCGGCUAACUCCGGGCCAGCAGCCGCGGUAAUACGGAGGAUUCAAGCGUUAUCCGGAUUGAUUGGGUUUAAAGGGUGCGUAGGCGGUCGGAUAAGUUAGAGGUGAAAUCCCGAGGCUCAACUUCGGAAUUGCCUAAGAUACUGUUCGGCUAGAGUGUAGUAGCGGUAGGCGGAAUGUAUGGUGUAGCGGUGAAAUGCUUAGAGAUCAUACAGAACACCGAUUGCGAAGGCAGCUUACCAAGCUACUUCUGACGUUGAGGCACGAAAGCGUGGGGAGCAAACAGGAUUAGAUACCCUUGUAGUC